Molecule: long non-coding RNA, 455 nt
Filed under: Ananas comosus (pineapple)
Lineage: Eukaryota; Viridiplantae; Streptophyta; Magnoliopsida; Poales; Bromeliaceae
Description: long non-coding RNA (ACOM_LNC032098)
Source: RNAcentral
UUUAUUUUUAAAAAAUACUUUUUUUAAAAUUUGGGUAAACGUCAAAUACCACUCCUGUAAUUUUACACUUUCUUAAUUUAGUAUUUUAUAAUUUAAAGUGUAUCAAAUUAGUAUCUUGUCGUUUUAUUUUUAUCUUUUCGUCAGUUUUUUAGUUAAUAUUUUGUUAAAUUAUAUAUAAAAAACUUCAGGUACCCUAUCUAGGUUUAUCGAAAAAAAAUAAUAAAAAUAAUGAAAGUGAAAAAGUGUUAAAUUGAUAAUUUUAGUUUUAACACUUCGGAUACCCUUUAGUUUUAACUUUGUCAUUAAUUUAACGAAAAAAAAAAUGAUAAUUAAAAAGUAAAAAUAAAAUCAUAUAAUACUAAAUUGAUACAUUUUAAAUCACAGAAUAUUAAAGUGAGAAAGUGUUCUCACUUUUUCACUUUAACACACCGGGUAUUAGAAGUUAUUUCAAAAAU